RNAcentral lists this ribosomal RNA (488 nucleotides) under uncultured bacterium. RNAcentral describes it as "bacterial SSU rRNA". It matches the Rfam family "Bacterial small subunit ribosomal RNA", at positions 28 to 507 of the family's 1533-position model. The record is from RNAcentral.
GAUGAACGCUAGCUACAGGCUUAACACAUGCAAGUCGAGGGGCAGCGAGGGCGUAGCAAUACGCCUGUCGGCGACCGGCGCACUGGUGAGUAACACGUAUGCGACCUGCCCCCUACAGGGGUAUAACCCGUAGAAAUGCGGACUAAUCCCCCAUAGUCCUGGAGGCUGCAUGGCUUUCAGGGGAAAGGUCAGCCGGUAGGGGAUGGGCAUGCGGCGCAUUAGUUAGUUGGCGGGGUAACGGCCCACCAAGACGACGAUGCGUAGGGGUUCUGAGAGGAAGGUCCCCCACACUGGUACUGAGACACGGACCAGACUCCUACGGGAGGCAGCAGUGAGGAAUAUUGGUCAAAUGGGCGCAGGCCUGAACCAGCCAAGUCGCGUGAGGGAUGACGGUCCUACGGAUUGUAAACCUCUUUUGUCGGGGAGUAACGUGCGGGACGCGUCCCGUAUUGAGAAUACCCGAAGAAAAAGCAUCGGNUAACUCCGUG